Molecule: ribosomal RNA, 253 nt
Filed under: uncultured bacterium
Lineage: Bacteria
Description: partial 16S ribosomal RNA
Rfam family: Bacterial small subunit ribosomal RNA
Source: RNAcentral
UACGUAGGGUGCGAGCGUUGCCCGGAUUUAUUGGGCGUAAAGGGCGCGUAGGCGGCCACGCACGUCCGUUGUGAAAUCGCCCGGCUCAACUGGGCGGGGUCAGCGGAUACGGCGCGGCUGGAGCAAGCUAGGGGGCAAUGGAAUUCCCGGUGUAGUGGUGGAAUGCGUAGAUAUCGGGAGGAACACCAGUGGCGAAGGCGGUUGCCUGGAGCUUUGCUGACGCUGAGGCGCGAAAGCCAGGGGAGCGAACGGG